CUCCUACGGGACGCAGCAGUGGGGAAUAUUGCACAAUGGGGGAAACCCUGAUGCAGCGACGCCGCGUGGGUGACGAAGUAUUUCGGUAUGUAAAGCCCUAUCAGCAGGGAAGAAGAUGACAGUACCUGACUAAGAAGCCCCGGCUAACUACGUGCCAGCAGCCGCGGUAAUACGUAGGGGGCAAGCGUUAUCCGGAUUUACUGGGUGUAAAGGGAGCGUAGGUGGCAUGGCAAGCCAGAAGUGAAAGCCCGCGGCCCAACCGCGGGACUGCAUUGGGAACUACCGGGCUGGAGGGCCGGAGAGGG
Molecule: ribosomal RNA, 305 nt
Filed under: uncultured bacterium
Lineage: Bacteria
Description: bacterial SSU rRNA
Rfam family: Bacterial small subunit ribosomal RNA
Source: RNAcentral